This is a long non-coding RNA of Rosa chinensis, 985 nucleotides long. RefSeq lists it as uncharacterized. The record is from RefSeq and is a predicted model, not a curated record. The transcript has 3 exons. Lineage: Eukaryota; Viridiplantae; Streptophyta; Magnoliopsida; Rosales; Rosaceae.
UUCUGCUCUCAGCCUCUCUCAGACAUUCCAAUCUCUCUCUCUGUUCUUCCUACUCUCUCCAUAUUCACCAUGACCGAUUUACCUGGAUCGACUGAAUCGGAAGGACUAGAUCCCGAUCCCCCUAUCAGAUUUAACUCUGGUCUAUCUAACCCAACUUUUAUUUUCGAAUUAGGGAUUGUGAUUUGUGAUGCGAUUGUGGUUUUUCUUUGCAUUAAGGUAUCGAAGACGUUUGAGCACGACAAGGAGCCUGUGAAUCACCUCGUGGUGAAAGAAGCCAUCGACCAUGGAGAAGCUCCAACGACAAAACAAUCAGGCUGAUUCGAUGCUAAAGGAGGAGGUUCAGUAUCUUUGUGUUGCAAUGGGACAUGACGAUAAAUCCCUCGAUGAAUUUGUUGAAAUACAAAAGACAUGCGUGAAUGAUUUCAUGUUUUUUUUUCUUAGCACAAUGCUUAUGGUGCAUCAAGUAUUGCUGGAAAUGAAAAGAAACUUAGGGCUCUGCAGAAUGAGUUUGAGAAUGUAAGGAAGAAGUUGGAUGAUGAUCUUGGGAAGGCAGCGAGCCUUGAAGAAAAGGUCAAGGUCUGAACACAUGGUUAUGAGGUACAUUACUCAAUCCAAUCAUGCUUCCCAAAUAUUCUCUUAUUAAUUGGCAAUGGGGGCUGUAGUGGAGUUAUACCUGACCUAGAUCCUGGAAUACUAGUGGAGGAAAGAGGUGUUCAUUUGGAGGUACAAGCAAUGAGAGAACAACAUGAGGCUGAUAUUGAAACGAUUUGAAGGAGAGCCAAGAACAGGAAGAUAAACCUAGGGAGGAAAUGAAGAAACAAACUCUGGCCACAACAGUUUAGCUUCAUAGGCAAGUAUCAUUAUUUAGGUUCUGUCUCCUAAUUACUUAGGUAUCAUAUUAUCUGGGAUUGCUUUAAUGUAAUAUGAAGUAUUGAAUGAUGUAAUGUUUUAAUCCUUCAGUCCAAUAGCAUUAAAAAUUUCUUUA